RNAcentral lists this ribosomal RNA (1059 nucleotides) under Vibrio harveyi. RNAcentral's name for it is "bacterial SSU rRNA". It matches the Rfam family "Bacterial small subunit ribosomal RNA", at positions 130 to 1185 of the family's 1533-position model. The record is from RNAcentral. Lineage: Bacteria; Pseudomonadati; Pseudomonadota; Gammaproteobacteria; Vibrionales; Vibrionaceae.
CCUGAAGUGGGGGAUAACCAUUGGAAACGAUGGCUAAUACCGCAUAAUACCUACGGGUCAAAGAGGGGGACCUUCGGGCCUCUCGCGUCAGGAUAUGCCUAGGUGGGAUUAGCUAGUUGGUGAGGUAAUGGCUCACCAAGGCGACGAUCCCUAGCUGGUCUGAGAGGAUGAUCAGCCACACUGGAACUGAGACACGGUCCAGACUCCUACGGGAGGCAGCAGUGGGGAAUAUUGCACAAUGGGCGCAAGCCUGAUGCAGCCAUGCCGCGUGUGUGAAGAAGGCCUUCGGGUUGUAAAGCACUUUCAGUCGUGAGGAAGGUAGUGUAGUUAAUAGCUGCAUUAUUUGACGUUAGCGACAGAAGAAGCACCGGCUAACUCCGUGCCAGCAGCCGCGGUAAUACGGAGGGUGCGAGCGUUAAUCGGAAUUACUGGGCGUAAAGCGCAUGCAGGUGGUUUGUUAAGUCAGAUGUGAAAGCCCGGGGCUCAACCUCGGAAUAGCAUUUGAAACUGGCAGACUAGAGUAUUGUAGAGGGGGGUAGAAUUUCAGGUGUAGCGGUGAAAUGCGUAGAGAUCUGAAGGAAUACCGGUGGCGAAGGCGGCCCCCUGGACAGAUACUGACACUCAGAUGCGAAAGCGUGGGGAGCAAACAGGAUUAGAUACCCUGGUAGUCCACGCCGUAAACGAUGUCUACUUGGAGGUUGUGGCCUUGAGCCGUGGCUUUCGGAGCUAACGCGUUAAGUAGACCGCCUGGGGAGUACGGUCGCAAGAUUAAAACUCAAAUGAAUUGACGGGGGCCCGCACAAGCGGUGGAGCACGUGGUUUAAUUCGAUGCAACGCGAAGAACCUUACCUACUCUUGACAUCCAGAGAACUUUCCAGAGAUGGAUUGGUGCCUUCGGGAACUCUGAGACAGGUGCUGCAUGGCUGUCGUCAGCUCGUGUUGUGAAAUGUUGGGUUAAGUCCCGCAACGAGCGCAACCCUUAUCCUUGUUUGCCAGCACUUCGGGUGGGAACUCCAGGGAGACUGCCGGUGAUAAACCGGAGGAAGGUGGGGACGACGU